This 497-nucleotide ribosomal RNA is filed under the name uncultured bacterium. RNAcentral describes it as "partial 16S ribosomal RNA". It matches the Rfam family "Bacterial small subunit ribosomal RNA", at positions 28 to 507 of the family's 1533-position model. The record is from RNAcentral.
GAUGAACGCUGGCGGCGUGCCUAAUACAUGCAAGUCGAGCGAACAGACGAGGAGCUUGCUCCUCUGACGUUAGCGGCGGACGGGUGAGUAACACGUGGAUAACCUACCUAUAAGACUGGGAUAACUUCGGGAAACCGGAGCUAAUACCGGAUAAUAUAUUGAACCGCAUGGUUCAAUAGUGAAAGACGGUUUUGCUGUCACUUAUAGAUGGAUCCGCGCCGCAUUAGCUAGUUGGUAAGGUAACGGCUUACCAAGCCAACGAUGCGUAGCCGACCUGAGAGGGUGAUCGGCCACACUGGAACUGAGACACGGUCCAGACUCCUACGGGAGGCAGCAGUAGGGAAUCUUCCACAAUGGGCGAAAGCCUGACGGAGCAACGCCGCGUGAGUGAUGAAGGUCUUCGGAUCGUAAAGCUCUGUUAUUAGGGAAGAACAUAUGUGUAAGUAACUGUGCACAUCUUGACGGUACCUAAUCAGAAAGCCACGGCUAACUACGUG